GUCUACCACAAUGGACAUGUCAUGAGAAGGCUUUCAUUUGAUGCCGGAACAUCUGACGUAGACUGUGGUCUGUGUUGGAUGUUGCUGUUCAGUCUGUGUCCUGUGUCUGUUCUCCUUUCCUCCCUCCUUUCCUCCGUCUGUUUCUACUCCUUCUGCAGAACAACAGCUCCAACUGAGACUCAGGGGAGGUGACAGCAGAGAGCAGACUGCUGUCAAAGUGGGUGUUGUAGUUUUAUUUUAAGAAGUCAUCUUAAUUUGUAGUCCAUGCGUUUGGUAACCCUGCCUUAUUGAAAUAGUAUUUUCAAUGGUAGAUAGACACAUAAAAAACAGAAGACAAAAAGCAACAAUACAUAAUGUCAAAUCCUAAUGUGUGAUGAUAUAUCAUUACAAUUAACAGCUUAUUAAUAAUCUCUCUCUCUCACACUCAGUCACUCACUCACUUCAGUACCUACACAGCCAGAAGACCUAUACAAAUGUAGCUGGUAUGACGACAGUGUUGAUAUUUUUAAGUUACUUAAUUUUGAAAUAAUUUAAUACCAGUGAUAUUUUUUCCAACUUUUGUAUGUAACCUUUUAAUAAUAAUAACAAUAGUGAUUUAGAAAAUGUUUUAAAGCUCAGCGAAUAAUGGUUAAAUAUCUCUUGUUAUUGUAACGGUUGUUGCAAGGAGAGGACCAAGGUGCAGCGUGGUAGGUGUUCAUCAUGUUUAUUAGUUCUGAGCAAUGAAUCAAAAACAAAAUGGAACAAAGCGCAACAAAUCUGUCAGGUGAAAAACACAAUACAGAAAACAACUACCCACAAAAACCCUGUGGGAAAAGGCUACCUAAGUAUGGCUCCCAAUCAGAGACAACAAUAGACAGCUGUCCCUGAUUGAGAACCAUACCCAGCCAAAACAAAGAAAUACACAAAACAUAGAAAA
RNAcentral lists this long non-coding RNA (916 nucleotides) under Salmo salar (Atlantic salmon). RNAcentral describes it as "lncRNA (ENSSSAG00000107644.1)". The record is from RNAcentral. Lineage: Eukaryota; Metazoa; Chordata; Actinopteri; Salmoniformes; Salmonidae.